UACGAAGGGGGCUAGCGUUGUUCGGAAUUACUGGGCGUAAAGGGCGCGCAGGCGGCCGCUCAAGUCAGAUGUGAAAGCCCCGGGCUCAACCUGGGAAUUGCAUUUGAGACUGCGUAGCUAGGGUGCGGAAGAGGGAAGCGGAAUUUCCGGUGUAGCGGUGAAAUGCGUAGAUAUCGGAAGGAACACCAGUGGCGAAAGCGGCUUCCUGGUCCAGCACCGACGUUCAGGCACGAAAGCGUGGGGAGCAAACAGGA
Molecule: ribosomal RNA, 254 nt
Filed under: uncultured bacterium
Lineage: Bacteria
Description: partial 16S ribosomal RNA
Rfam family: Bacterial small subunit ribosomal RNA
Source: RNAcentral